AGCAGCCGCCGCGGUAAUACGAAGGGUGCAAGCGUUACUCGGAAUUACUGGGCGUAAAGCGUGCGUAGGUGGUGGUUUAAGUCCGUUGUGAAAGCCCUGGGCUCAACCUGGGAAUUGCAGUGGAUACUGGGUCACUAGAGUGUGGUAGAGGAUAGUGGAAUUUCCGGUGUAGCAGUGAAAUGCGUAGAGAUCGGAAGGAACAUCUGUGGCGAAGGCGACUAUCUGGGCCAACACUGACACUGAGGCACGAAAGCGUGGGGAGCAAACAGGAUUAGAUACCCCAGUAGUCCCUGUCUCUUAUAA
Molecule: ribosomal RNA, 303 nt
Filed under: uncultured bacterium
Lineage: Bacteria
Description: partial 16S ribosomal RNA
Rfam family: Bacterial small subunit ribosomal RNA
Source: RNAcentral